CACACCGCCCGUCACGCCAUGGGAGCUGGAGGGACCCGAAGCCGGUGUGCCAACCGCAAGGAGGCAGCCGUCUAAGGUCAAUUCAGUGACUGGGGCG
This 97-nucleotide ribosomal RNA is filed under the name uncultured bacterium. RNAcentral describes it as "partial 16S ribosomal RNA". It matches the Rfam family "Bacterial small subunit ribosomal RNA", at positions 1386 to 1482 of the family's 1533-position model. The record is from RNAcentral.